GUAAUCCCAGAUCAGUAGCCGUUAGUGCAGACUGCGUGGGGAGGUUAGUGAGGAAGCAAACAUGCAGUGUUGAAUAUGAGUGAAUCAACCCUAACUGACUCUGGGAACAAGGUCACAUUUUAGAGCUACCCUUACCUGACAGCAUGCUGAAGUUAAAACUGCACCAAUGAAGUGAAUGAAUUGGUCAAAGGGUGAAAAUGAAGACAAACCAAAGAGCAGGAGGACCUUUCCAAACCUGGAUUAGUUUGUGACUGGCUGCUCAUUCUGACUCUGAUGGUAUUACAACCACAUGAGGCGAUCAAAGCGGAGCCAAGCUGCAAGACGAUAUCGGUGUGGGCGAGAAGUUGGCAACUAUCACUAACGAAUCUGUCUUGGGGCACUCCAGGCAGUCAACUCCGCCCACUCACUAUUUAAACCCACAAUGUCACCCGGCGCUCAGCUUCACACUGGAGAACUUGAUCUUGACCAACACGUUUGGAUUCAUGGGAAAAACUUCCAGCUAAACUCAGACACCGAGCUGUGAUCACCUACAAGGUUUCAUCUCCAAUCUACCAAGCUUGGAUAUUUGGACCCAGCAUUUUUAAGAGUAAUUUAUUUAUUUAUUUAUCUUCUUCCCACUCUCUGGGAUUUAAACUUCGCCCAGUCCCGGAGGUUGCCCCCUCCUUUCCAGAGAGAGGGUGUAGAGUUGAAGUUGGCCCGGA
This is a long non-coding RNA of Acanthochromis polyacanthus (spiny chromis), 701 nucleotides long. RefSeq lists it as uncharacterized. The transcript has 3 exons. The record is from RefSeq and is a predicted model, not a curated record. Lineage: Eukaryota; Metazoa; Chordata; Actinopteri; Pomacentridae.